GAUGAACGCUGGCGGCGUGCCUAAUACAUGCGAGUCGAGCGAACGGACGAGAAGCUUGCUUCUCUGAUGUUAGCGGCGGACGGGUGAGUAACACGUGGAUAACCUACCUAUAAGACUGGGAUAACUUCGGGAAACCGGAGCUAAUACCGGAUGAUAUUUUGAACCGCAUGGUUCAAAAGUGAAAGACGGUCUUGCUGUCACUUAUAGAUGGAUCCGCGCUGCAUUAGCUAGUUGGUAAGGUAACGGCUUACCAAGGCAACGAUGCAUAGCCGAUCUGAGAGGGUGAUCGGCCACACUGGAACUGAGACACGGUCCAGACUCCUACGGGAGGCAGCAGUAGGGAAUCUUCCGCAAUGGGCGAAAGCCUGACGGAGCAACGCCGCGUGAGUGAUGAAGGUCUUCGGAUCGUAAAACUCUGUUAUUAGGGAAGAACAUAUGUGUAAGUAACUGUGCACAUCUUGACGGUACCUAAUCAGAAAGCCACGGCUAACUACGUG
RNAcentral lists this ribosomal RNA (497 nucleotides) under uncultured bacterium. Its description in RNAcentral is "partial 16S ribosomal RNA". It matches the Rfam family "Bacterial small subunit ribosomal RNA", at positions 28 to 507 of the family's 1533-position model. The record is from RNAcentral.